RNAcentral lists this ribosomal RNA (475 nucleotides) under Pyrenochaetopsis tabarestanensis. Its description in RNAcentral is "eukaryotic LSU rRNA". The stretch from base 146 to 299 matches the Rfam family "5.8S ribosomal RNA". The record is from RNAcentral. Lineage: Eukaryota; Fungi; Ascomycota; Dothideomycetes; Pleosporales; Pyrenochaetopsidaceae.
AUCAUUAUCAAAACAGCGGACUUCGGUCCUUGCUGCACCCUUGUCUUUUGCGUACCGUAUGUUUCCUCGGCGGGCUUGCCUGCCGGUUGGACAUUAUCAAACCUUUUUGUAGUUGCAAUCAGCGUCAGAAAAUAAUAAUAAUUACAACUUUCAACAACGGAUCUCUUGGUUCUGGCAUCGAUGAAGAACGCAGCGAAAUGCGAAAAGUAGUGUGAAUUGCAGAAUUCAGUGAAUCAUCGAAUCUUUGAACGCACAUUGCGCCCCUUGGUAUUCCAUGGGGCAUGCCUGUUCGAGCGUCAUUUUGUACCCUCAAGCACUGCUUGGUGUUGGGCGCUUGUCCUGCAAAGGACUCGCCUGAAAGCGAUUGGCGGCCAACGUACUGGUGGUAGAGCGCAGCACAAUUUGCGUCUUUCCCCUCUGCGUUAGCGUCCAUAAAGCCUAUUUCAACGUUUGACCUCGGAUCAGGUAGGGAUAC